This 379-nucleotide ribosomal RNA is filed under the name uncultured eukaryote. Its description in RNAcentral is "partial 18S ribosomal RNA". It matches the Rfam family "Eukaryotic small subunit ribosomal RNA", at positions 592 to 976 of the family's 1831-position model. The record is from RNAcentral.
CAAUAGCGUAUAUUAAAGUUGUUGCGGUAAAAAAGCUCGUAGUUGGAUUUCUGUUGAGAGCGACCGGUCCAUACCAUGUAUGCGUAUCUGGCUUGCCCUCGGCAUCCUCUCGAUAGACGUUACUGCGCUUGAUUGCGUGGUGCGGAUCUCGGGACUUUUACUUUGAGGAAAUUAGAGUGUUCACGGCAGGCUUUCGCCAGAAUACAUUAGCAUGGAAUAAUACUAUAGGAUCUUGGUUCUAUUUUGUUGGUUUCUAGAAUUGAGAUAAUGAUUAAUAGGGACAAUUGGGGGCAUUCGUAUCAACACGUCAGAGGUGGAAUUCUUGGAUUGUGUUGCGACGAACUACUGCGAAAGCAUUUGCCAAGGAUGUUUUCAUUGA